AAAACGAGAAGAUUACUAUCAUAUUCUUUCCAAUGGUGAGUCUUCUCUUGACAUAUCAUUAUCUCCACUGUCUCUAAUUGAGAAUUAUACUUCAAACACACACCAAGAUCAUAUAGGUAGUGCGCGUAGAUAUACUCAGUAAGUGGAUGUGCACAACCCUGUCUUAUGAUGACACGAGGUUGUAUGUCUUUAGACAUCUUGUAUGAUAGUGGCAAAACACCUUUCCAACAUUGGGU
This 236-nucleotide long non-coding RNA is filed under the name Panax ginseng (ginseng). Its description in RNAcentral is "long non-coding RNA (PGIN_LNC010963)". The record is from RNAcentral. Lineage: Eukaryota; Viridiplantae; Streptophyta; Magnoliopsida; Apiales; Araliaceae.